This 838-nucleotide small RNA is filed under the name Solicoccozyma terricola. RNAcentral describes it as "eukaryotic LSU rRNA". The stretch from base 196 to 838 matches the Rfam family "Eukaryotic large subunit ribosomal RNA", at positions 1 to 630 of the family's 3401-position model. Lineage: Eukaryota; Fungi; Basidiomycota; Tremellomycetes; Filobasidiales; Piskurozymaceae. The record is from RNAcentral.
CUUGGAUUUGGCUGUUUGCCGCUCGAAAGAGUCGGCUCAGCUUAAAAGUAUUAGCUGGAUCUGUCUUUGAGACUUGGUUUGACUUGGCGUAAUAAGUUAUUUCGCUGAGGACAAUCUUCGGAUUGGCCGAGUUUCUGGACGUUUGUCCGCUUUCUAAUACAAGUUCUAGCUUGCUAGACAUGACUUUUUAUUAUCUGGCCUCAAAUCAGGUAGGACUACCCGCUGAACUUAAGCAUAUCAAUAAGCGGAGGAAAAGAAACUAACAAGGAUUCCCCUAGUAACGGCGAGUGAAGCGGGAAGAGCUCAAAUUUGAAAUCUGGUGGCCUCAGGCUAUCCGAGUUGUAAUCUAUAGAAACAUUUUCCGCGUUGGCCCAUGUACAAGUCUCUUGGAAUAGAGCGUCAUAGAGGGUGAGAAUCCCGUCCUUGACAUGGACUACCAGUGCUUUGUGAUAUGUUUUCAACGAGUCGAGUUGUUUGGGAAUGCAGCUCAAAAUGGGUGGUAAAUUCCAUCUAAAGCUAAAUAUUGGCGAGAGACCGAUAGCGAACAAGUACCGUGAGGGAAAGAUGAAAAGCACUUUGGAAAGAGAGUUAAACAGUAUGUGAAAUUGUUGAAAGGGAAACGAUUGAAGUCAGUCGUGUCUAUUGGACUCAGCCGGUUCUGCCGGUGUACUUCCUUUAGAUGGGGUCAACAUCAGUUUUGAUCGCUGGAAAAGGGCAGGAGGAAUGUAGCACUCUCGGGUGAACUUAUAGCCUUCUGUCGCAUACAGUGGUUGGGACUGAGGAACGCAGCUUGCCUUUAUGGCCGGGAUUUAUCCACGUACAAGCUUAGGAUGUUGAC